AGUAAAGUCAGCUAAUAUAAGCUUU
RNAcentral lists this transfer RNA (25 nucleotides) under Pristimantis ceuthospilus (Wild's robber frog). RNAcentral describes it as "partial tRNA-Met". Lineage: Eukaryota; Metazoa; Chordata; Amphibia; Anura; Strabomantidae. The record is from RNAcentral.